UACGAAGGGUGUGAGCGUUUCCCGGAUUUAUUGGGCGUAAAGUGUUUCGUAGGCGGUUUGGCAAGUUGUUCUUUAAAGCCUCCGGCUCAACCGGAGAAAGGGGUGCAAUACUGCCAGACUUGAAGGAUGUAGGGGUUACUGGAACUGUCGGUGUAGGGGUGAAAUCCGUUGAUAUCGAUAGGAAAUCCGAAGGCGAAGGCGGGUAACUAGGCAUCUCUUGACGCUGAGGAACGAAAGCUAGGGGAGCGAAACGG
This 254-nucleotide ribosomal RNA is filed under the name uncultured bacterium. RNAcentral's name for it is "partial 16S ribosomal RNA". It matches the Rfam family "Bacterial small subunit ribosomal RNA", at positions 524 to 776 of the family's 1533-position model. The record is from RNAcentral.